GGGCCGUUAGCUCAGUUGGCAGAGCACCUGACUUUUAAUCAGGGUGUCACAGGUUCGAGACCUGUACGGCCUA
This 73-nucleotide transfer RNA is filed under the name Chloroflexota bacterium. RNAcentral's name for it is "tRNA-Lys". It matches the Rfam family "tRNA". Rfam says of the family: Transfer RNA (tRNA) molecules are approximately 80 nucleotides in length. RNAcentral also lists the same sequence under 4 other names. Lineage: Bacteria; Bacillati; Chloroflexota. The record is from RNAcentral.